Molecule: ribosomal RNA, 445 nt
Filed under: uncultured bacterium
Lineage: Bacteria
Description: bacterial SSU rRNA
Rfam family: Bacterial small subunit ribosomal RNA
Source: RNAcentral
CCAGACUCCUACGGGAGGCAGCAGUCGGGAAUAUUGCGCAAUGGAGGAAACUCUGACGCAGUGACGCCGCGUGCAGGAAGAAGGUUUUCGGAUUGUAAACUGCUUUAGACAGGGAAGAAACAAGACAGUACCUGUAGAAUAAGCUCCGGCUAACUACGUGCCAGCAGCCGCGGUAAUACGUAGGGAGCAAGCGUUAUCCGGAUUUAUUGGGUGUAAAGGGUGCGUAGACGGGAAAACAAGUUAGUUGUGAAAUCCCUCGGCUUAACUGAGGAACUGCAACUAAAACUAUUUUUCUUGAGUGUUGGAGAGGAAAGUGGAAUUCCUAGUGUAGCGGUGAAAUGCGUAGAUAUUAGGAGGAACACCAGUGGCGAAGGCGACUUUCUGGACAAUAACUGACGUUGAGGCACGAAAGUGUGGGGAGCAAACAGGAUUAGAUACCCCCGUA